UGGUUCAGUGGUACAUCACUAGGCUAUAGAUCUGUGAGCGCAGGUUCAAUCCCGCCC
This 57-nucleotide transfer RNA is filed under the name Eutreptiella gymnastica. Lineage: Eukaryota; Euglenozoa; Euglenophyceae; Eutreptiales; Eutreptiaceae. The record is from RNAcentral.